UCCGGAGUGUUUGCGGAACGCGAGAUCUCAAUCAACCAGGUAGAUGGCAGCACAGUCCCACCUGUGUGAAGUGAAGGGAUUAUGUACUACCAUUAUUACCAGACAGUUUAUUCAGUUAGAGACAAACAGUCACAUUAAGAGAUGUGAUGACCUCAGCAGCAGGAGUCUCUUUUGUUUUGUUGGCCACAGAUCUAACCGCACAAGAAGAAUCUGCAUCUCAGGAAAUGGCAGCACAUCCUCAGAGUAAUCUGCAUUACUAGAAGACCUUAAAUGUACAUUUUUAUAACUGUCUUAUCACCAACUGAUUAAACACACAUGUAGUUCACCUCAUUCAAACUUUUACAUUUGCAGUUUUAAACACAGCAUCUUGUAGGUUUUUUUCUCUAUGUAUUGUGUUUUAUUUGUUAAUUUCUUAACCAUGUGGCUCGAGUGGUCACCUAAUUUUAUAUGAGCUCUUUCUUGUUUGCAUUAUGAUCUUGUUAAGCACUUUGUGAUGUAUAUCUGUGAAAAGUGCUAUAUAAAUACACUUUACUUACUUCUUUCUGUUG
Sebastes umbrosus (honeycomb rockfish) is the source of this 548-nucleotide long non-coding RNA. RefSeq lists it as uncharacterized. The record is from RefSeq and is a predicted model, not a curated record. The transcript has 3 exons. NCBI's taxonomy places the organism in Eukaryota, Metazoa, Chordata, Actinopteri, Perciformes, Sebastidae.